Molecule: ribosomal RNA, 995 nt
Filed under: Staphylococcus aureus VET0150R
Lineage: Bacteria; Bacillati; Bacillota; Bacilli; Caryophanales; Staphylococcaceae
Description: bacterial SSU rRNA
Rfam family: Bacterial small subunit ribosomal RNA
Source: RNAcentral
AGAGUUUGAUCCUGGCUCAGGAUGAACGCUGGCGGCGUGCCUAAUACAUGCAAGUCGAGCGAACGGACGAGAAGCUUGCUUCUCUGAUGUUAGCGGCGGACGGGUGAGUAACACGUGGAUAACCUACCUAUAAGACUGGGAUAACUUCGGGAAACCGGAGCUAAUACCGGAUAAUAUUUUGAACCGCAUGGUUCAAAAGUGAAAGACGGUCUUGCUGUCACUUAUAGAUGGAUCCGCGCUGCAUUAGCUAGUUGGUAAGGUAACGGCUUACCAAGGCAACGAUGCAUAGCCGACCUGAGAGGGGGAUCGGCCACACUGGAACUGAGACACGGUCCAGACUCCUACGGGAGGCAGCAGUAGGGAAUCUUCCGCAAUGGGCGAAAGCCUGACGGAGCAACGCCGCGUGAGUGAUGAAGGUCUUCGGAUCGUAAAACUCUGUUAUUAGGGAAGAACAUAUGUGUAAGUAACUGUGCACAUCUUGACGGUACCUAAUCAGAAAGCCACGGCUAACUACGUGCCAGCAGCCGCGGUAAUACGUAGGUGGCAAGCGUUAUCCGGAAUUAUUGGGCGUAAAGCGCGCGUAGGCGGUUUUUUAAGUCUGAUGUGAAAGCCCACGGCUCAACCGUGGAGGGUCAUUGGAAACUGGAAAACUUGAGUGCAGAAGAGGAAAGUGGAAUUCCAUGUGUAGCGGUGAAAUGCGCAGAGAUAUGGAGGAACACCAGUGGCGAAGGCGACUUUCUGGUCUGUAACUGACGCUGAUGUGCGAAAGCGUGGGGAUCAAACAGGAUUAGAUACCCUGGUAGUCCACGCCGUAAACGAUGAGUGCUAAGUGUUAGGGGGUUUCCGCCCCUUAGUGCUGCAGCUAACGCAUUAAGCACUCCGCCUGGGGAGUACGACCGCAAGGUUGAAACUCAAAGGAAUUGACGGGGACCCGCACAAGCGGUGGAGCAUGUGGUUUAAUUCGAAGCAACGCGAAGAACCUUACCAAAUCUUGA